RNAcentral lists this ribosomal RNA (295 nucleotides) under uncultured bacterium. RNAcentral's name for it is "partial 16S ribosomal RNA". It matches the Rfam family "Bacterial small subunit ribosomal RNA", at positions 337 to 650 of the family's 1533-position model. The record is from RNAcentral.
UCCUACGGGAGGCAGCAGUGGGGAAUAUUGCACAAUGGGGGAAACCCUGAUGCAGCGACGCCGCGUGAGUGAAGAAGUAUUUCGGUACGUAAAGCUCUAUCAGCAGGGAAGAAAAUGACGGUACCUGACUAAGAAGCCCCGGCUAACUCCGUGCCAGCAGCCGCGGUAAUACGGAGGAUGCGAGCGUUAUCCGGAUUUAUUGGGUUUAAAGGGUGCGCAGGCGGCCUGUUAAGUCAGCGGUAAAAGCCCGGGGCUCAACCCCGGCGAGCCGUUGAAACUGGCGGGCUGGGGGUGG